Long non-coding RNA from Numida meleagris (helmeted guineafowl), 1588 nucleotides. NCBI's taxonomy places the organism in Eukaryota, Metazoa, Chordata, Aves, Galliformes, Numididae. The record is from Ensembl.
GGGAGGGACAGGGGGACGUGGGACAACGGUGGACAGCGGAGACGGACACGGGGACAGGGGAAUGGGUGGGGGGGGACCGCAGGACGGACAGGGGGACGUGGGGACAGACAUGGGGACACGGAGAUGGAUAGGGACGUCAGGACGGAUGCGGGGACACUGGGACAGACAUGGGGACCGCAGGACGGACGUGGGGACAUGGGGGCGGACUUGGGGACACGGAGAUGGACACGGGGACGUCGGGACGGACAUGGGGACUGCAGGACGGACGUGGGGACAUGGGGCUGGACAUAGGACAUGAGACUUCAGUAUGGGCAUGGGGACAGACGUGGGACUUUGGGACGGACAUGGGGACGCUGGGACAGACGUGGGGACACCGGGAUGGACACGGGGACAUCGGGUCGGACACGGGACACGAGACAUCAGGACGGACGUGGGGACGUUGGGACGGACGUGGGGACACCGCGAUGGCUGCGGAUCCUGCAGGACAGACGCACGGACAGCGGGACGGAUGGACGGACAGGCUGCAGGCCGGCCACGGGGACCCGGGGGGGGGUGGUGAGGGGUCACGCUCAGCGGCUGCGCCGUGGGGCGGGCGCUGCCCUAGAGGCGGAUGCGGCCGCUGACGAUGCCGUCCCAGUGCGCGGGGCCCAUGGGGACGUAGGCGCCCGCGGCGGCGUCCAGCAGCAGCAGCGGGACCAGGACACGAGCGGGGUCACAGCCCUCACGAGCCAGGAGCAGCUUCUGCUGCUUGAAGGUGGGCGUCACCUCCAGGCCGUCCUGGAGCAGCACGACGGGGUCAGCCCGACACCCCCCGCCAUGGGGUCACCCCAUGACCCCCCACCCCAAGGUCACCCCGUGACCUCACACUGGGGUCACCCCAUGACCUUCACACUGGGGUCACCCCACAUCACCCCACCCCAAGGUCACCCCAUGACCUUCACACUGGGGUCACCCCAUGUCCCCCACCCCAAGGUCACGCCCUGACCUCACAUUGGGGUCACCCCAUGUCCCCCACCCCAAAGUCACCCCAUGACCUCACACUGGGGUCACCCCAUGACCCCCUGCAUUGGGGUCACCCCAUGUCCCCCCACCCCAAGGUCACCCCAUGACCCCCUACAUUAGGGUCACACCUUGUCCCCCACCCCAAGGUCACCCCACGACCUCACACCGGGGUCACCCCACGUCCCCCCACCCCAAAGUCACCCCAUGACAUCACAUUGGGGUCACCCCAUGACCCCCUGCAAUGGGGUCACCCCAUUCCCUCUCACACCAGGGUCACCCCAUGACCCCCUGCAACGGGGUCACCCCAUGACUCCCCCCCAAUGGGGUCACCCCAUGCCCCCCCACACUGAGGUCACCCUACAUCCCCCCACACCAGGGUCACCCCAUGACUUCUCACAUCAGGGUCACUUGAUAACCCCCCCCCCCAGGCUCACCCCGUCUCCCCAUACUGCACUCACCCCACAACCUCCCACACCAGCGUUGCUCCACGACCCCACAUGGGGGUCACCCCAUCCCCCCCAACAUCGGGCUCACCCCACAAACCCCAUGACCCCCUCCUGGGCUCACUCCACGUUCCCGCACCCCG